Molecule: ribosomal RNA, 380 nt
Filed under: uncultured eukaryote
Lineage: Eukaryota
Description: partial 18S ribosomal RNA
Rfam family: Eukaryotic small subunit ribosomal RNA
Source: RNAcentral
CAAUAGCGUAUAUUUAAGUUGUUGCAGUUAAAAAGCUCGUAGUUGGAUUUCGGAUGGGGUCUGCCGGUCCGUCUUUGAGAUGUGCACUGGCAAGUCCCAUCUUGUUGUCGGGGACUAGCUCCUGGGCUUCACUGUCCCGGGACUAGGAGCUGACGAAGUUACUUUGAGUAAAUUAGAGUGUUCAAAGCAAGCCUAAGCUCUGAAUAUAUUAGCAUGGAAUAACACGAUAGGACUCUGGCUUAUCCUGUUGGUCUGUGAGACCAGAGUAAUGAUUAAGAGGGACAGUCGGGGGCAUUCGUAUUCCGUUGUCAGAGGUGAAAUUCUUGGAUUUACGGAAGACGAACAUCUGCGAAAGCAUUUGCCAAGGAUGUUUUCAUUGA